This 252-nucleotide ribosomal RNA is filed under the name uncultured Bacteroidales bacterium. Its description in RNAcentral is "partial 16S ribosomal RNA". It matches the Rfam family "Bacterial small subunit ribosomal RNA", at positions 524 to 776 of the family's 1533-position model. Lineage: Bacteria; Pseudomonadati; Bacteroidota; Bacteroidia; Bacteroidales. The record is from RNAcentral.
UACGGAGGAUGCGAGCGUUAUCCGGAUUUAUUGGGUUUAAAGGGUGCGUAGGCGGGACCUUAAGUCAGCGGUAAAAUUGCGGUGCUCAACGCCGUAGAGCCGUUGAAACUGGGGGGCUUGAGUAUGUUUGAGGCAGGCGGAAUGCGUGGUGUAGCGGUGAAAUGCAUAGAUAUCACGCAGAACUCCGAUUGCGAAGGCAGCAUACCGGCGCCCAACUGACGCUGAAGCACGAAAGCGUGGGUAUCGAACAGG